RNAcentral lists this ribosomal RNA (253 nucleotides) under uncultured bacterium. RNAcentral describes it as "partial 16S ribosomal RNA". It matches the Rfam family "Bacterial small subunit ribosomal RNA", at positions 524 to 776 of the family's 1533-position model. The record is from RNAcentral.
UACGUAGGGGGCAAGCGUUAUCCGGAUUUACUGGGUGUAAAGGGAGCGUAGACGGCCUUGCAAGUCUGGUGUGAAAGCCCGGGGCUCAACCCCGGGACUGCAUUGGAAACUGCAUGGCUGGAGUGCAGGAGAGGUAAGCGGAAUUCCUGGUGUAGCGGUGAAAUGCGUAGAUAUUAGGAGGAACACCAGUGGCGAAGGCGGCUUACUGGACUGUAACUGACGUUGAGGCUCGAAAGCGUGGGGAGCAAACAGG